GCAUAUCAAUAAGCGGAGGAAAAGAAACCAACAGGGAUUGCCUCAGUAACGGCGAGUGAAGCGGCAACAGCUCAAAUUUUAAAGCUGACGUCUUUGGCGUCCGCGUUGUAAUUUGGAGAGGCAUCUUCGGUUUGGGCGCCAGCCUAUGUUCCUUGGAACAGGACGUCACAGAGGGUGAGAAUCCCGUGCCUGGCUGGCUGUCCCUUUCCAUGUGAAGUGCCUUCGACGAGUCGAGUUGUUUGGGAAUGCAGCUCAAAAUGGGUGGUAAAUUUCAUCUACAGCUAAAUAUUGGCGGGAGACCGAUAGCGCACAAGUAGAGUGAUCGAAAGAUGAAAAGCACUUUGAAAAUAGAGUUAAAAAGUACGUGAAAUUGUUGAAAGGGAAGCGCUUGAGACCAGACUCGGCCGGAGAUGAUCAGCCGUCCUUCUGGGCGGUGCACUCGUUUCCGGCCGGGCCAGCAUCGGUUGAGACGGCGGGAUAAAGGCCCGGGGAAUGUGGCUCCUUUCGGGGAGUGUUAUAGCCCCGGGCGCAAUGCCGCCAGCCUCGACCGAGGACCGCGCUUCAUUGCUAGGAUGCUGGCGUAAUGGUCUUCAUCGACCCGUCUUGAAACACGGACCACGGAGUCUAACAUCUAUGCGAGUGUUUGGGUGUCAAACCCUUGCGCGUAAUGAAAGUGAACGGAGGUGGGAACCCCUCGCGGGGCGCACCAUCGACCGGUCCUGAUGUCUUCGGAUGGAUCUGAGUAGGAGCAUAGCUGUUGGGACCCGAAAGAUGGUGAACUAUGCCUGAAUAGGGUGAAGCCAGAGGAAACUCUGGUGGAGGCUCGCAGCGGUUCUGACGUGCAAAUCAAUCGUCAAAUUUGGGUAUAGGGGCCAAAGACUAAUCGAACCAUCUAGUAGCUGGUUCCUGCCGAAGUUUCCCUCAGGAUAGCAGUAACGAUCUCAGU
This 946-nucleotide ribosomal RNA is filed under the name Gyromitra esculenta. RNAcentral's name for it is "LSU rRNA". It matches the Rfam family "Eukaryotic large subunit ribosomal RNA", at positions 38 to 999 of the family's 3401-position model. Lineage: Eukaryota; Fungi; Ascomycota; Pezizomycetes; Pezizales; Discinaceae. The record is from RNAcentral.